ACAAUACCGUGAACUCAAGAACCGCGGUUUCAAUAUGGAUCUUGGAUGGGCGGGGAACGUACAGAGGCAGCAGAACCAAGGCGCCGCGAUGGGUGCUCCUGUCUUUCAAGGUGGCAUGAACCGUUAAGACUAAUUCUUUAAUGUAAUUUAUUCAGUUUUAUAAUAAACGAGGUUUAGUCCUCUGUGUGUUUCUGUAAUAUGCUCGUGAAUUAUGAACUGAAAGUGAUUAUAUAUUUGUGUAAUAUUCGGUCAAAGAUAUGACAUUUGGACAA
Long non-coding RNA from Brassica oleracea var. oleracea, 272 nucleotides. RefSeq lists it as uncharacterized. The transcript is spliced from 2 exons. The record is from RefSeq and is a predicted model, not a curated record. Lineage: Eukaryota; Viridiplantae; Streptophyta; Magnoliopsida; Brassicales; Brassicaceae.